CUUCUAAGCUCUGCAAUUCCACGGAAACUCUCUCCAAUCCCCUGAAUUGAAUUUACCAAAAAUAUUAUUUAUUUCAUCACCAAUUGCUUUCUGUUUGUUUCUUCUUAUUAUCUUUCCUCCAUUUUCUUUCCAAAUUUUCCAAAAGGGUAUACUGUGAAGUUGAAUUUCCGGGAAGGAUAAUCUGGGAAAGGAAGUAUUCUACAGGCACGUUGUAGAUCCUCUGUUUCUGCUACUCUGUUCGUCUAUGAUAUUGUAAUUAAUUGGAAAAGCGCAUUUUUAGGAGAUUCUCGGCUCAAUUGUUUAUACCUGUUCUCAAAUUCCCAC
RNAcentral lists this unclassified non-coding RNA (324 nucleotides) under Hevea brasiliensis (rubber tree). Lineage: Eukaryota; Viridiplantae; Streptophyta; Magnoliopsida; Malpighiales; Euphorbiaceae. The record is from RNAcentral.